Molecule: ribosomal RNA, 559 nt
Filed under: uncultured Glomus
Lineage: Eukaryota; Fungi; Glomeromycota; Glomeromycetes; Glomerales; Glomeraceae
Description: eukaryotic LSU rRNA
Rfam family: Eukaryotic large subunit ribosomal RNA
Source: RNAcentral
AAGCGUUUUCUUGGGCUCGCGGCCGGUAGAAGUUCUUUGGAACAGGACAUCAUAGAGGGUGACAAUCCCGUCCGUGACCGGUCGUGCGUUCAUCUACGAUACGCUUUCAAAGAGUCGAGUUGUUUGGGAUUGCAGCUCCAAAUGGGUGGUAAACAUCACCUAAGGCUAAAUAGUGGCGAGAGACCGAUAGCGAACAAGUACCGUGAGGGAAAGAUGAAAAGAACUUUGAAAAGAGAGUUAAACAGUACGUGAAAUUGUUGAAAGGGAAACGAUUGAAGUCAGUCGUGCUGGCGCGAAAUCAACCAUCUCGUCUUGAGGUCACAUGGCGCGGCGAGCCUCAAAACCGUCACGAAGCGUGAACUCUUGACGAGAAGGUGCACUUUCGUGUCCGCUGGUUAACAUCAAUUUCGACCGUCAUAAAAAGGCUGGAGGGAUGUGGCUCCUUCGGGAGUGUUAUAACCUUUAGCGGAAUGUGGUGUUCGGGAUUGAGGAUUGCAACGAAUACCUUCAGGGCUGUUCCACCCGGCUUCUCAUUGGUAUCCUGGUGACGACAGCUUGC